RNAcentral lists this ribosomal RNA (262 nucleotides) under uncultured bacterium. Its description in RNAcentral is "partial 16S ribosomal RNA". It matches the Rfam family "Bacterial small subunit ribosomal RNA", at positions 793 to 1055 of the family's 1533-position model. The record is from RNAcentral.
GUCCUAGCCGUAAACGUUGGGUGCUAGGUGUGGGCGGACAUCGACCCCGUCCGUGCCGAAGCUAACGCAUUAAGCACCCCGCCUGGGGAGUACGGCCGCAAGGCUAAAACUCAAAGGAAUUGACGGGGCCCCCGCACAAGCGGCGGAGCAUGCUGCUUAAUUCGAUGCGACGCGAAGAACCUUACCUGGGCUUGACAUGCAGGGUGAAACCCGUGAAAACGGGCGCUCUUCGGAGCCUGCACAGGUGGUGCAUGGCUGUCGU